This 468-nucleotide ribosomal RNA is filed under the name Dichaetomyia bibax. RNAcentral's name for it is "partial 16S ribosomal RNA". The stretch from base 342 to 468 matches the Rfam family "Bacterial large subunit ribosomal RNA", at positions 2473 to 2599 of the family's 2925-position model. Lineage: Eukaryota; Metazoa; Arthropoda; Insecta; Diptera; Muscidae. The record is from RNAcentral.
AUUAAAUGGCCGCAGUAUAUUAACUGUGCAAAGGUAGCAUAAUCAUUAGUCUUUUAAUUGAAGGCUGGAAUGAAUGGUUGGACGAAAUAUUAACUGUUUCAUAAUAAUUUAUAAUAAAAUUUUAUUUUUUAGUAAAAAAGCUAAAAUUUAAUUAAAAGACGAGAAGACCCUAUAAAUCUUUAUAUUUAUAUUAUUUUUAUUUUAUUGAAUUUUUAUAUAAUAAUAAUUUAAAAUAUUUUAUUGGGGUGAUAUUAAAAUUUAAUUAACUUUUAAUUUAUAAAAUCAUUAAUUUAUGAAUUUUUGAUCCAUUAAUAAUGAUUAAAAGAUUAAGUUACUUUAGGGAUAACAGCGUAAUUUUUUUGAAGAGUUCAUAUUGAUAAAAAAGAUUGCGACCUCGAUGUUGGAUUAAGAUAUAAUUUUAGGUGUAGUCGCUUAAAUUUUAAGUCUGUUCGACUUUUAAUUUCUUAC